UACAGAGGUCUCGAGCGUUGUUCGGAUUCAUUGGGCGUAAAGGGUGCGUAGGCGGCGAGCUAAGUUUGGUGUGAAAUCCUAGGGCUUAACCCUAGAAAUGCACUGAAUACUGGUUUGCUAGAGGACUGGAGAGGAGAUUGGAAUUCACGGUGUAGCAGUGAAAUGCGUAGAUAUCGUGAGGAAGACCAGUGGCGAAGGCGAAUCUCUGGACAGAUCCUGACGCUGAGGCACGAAGGCCAGGGGAGCAAACGGG
Molecule: ribosomal RNA, 253 nt
Filed under: uncultured bacterium
Lineage: Bacteria
Description: partial 16S ribosomal RNA
Rfam family: Bacterial small subunit ribosomal RNA
Source: RNAcentral